RNAcentral lists this ribosomal RNA (2062 nucleotides) under Triticum aestivum (bread wheat). RNAcentral describes it as "partial small subunit ribosomal RNA". The record is from RNAcentral. Lineage: Eukaryota; Viridiplantae; Streptophyta; Magnoliopsida; Poales; Poaceae.
GGGAUCAGUAGUCUGAUCCCUAGCGUUCCCCCUUCUUCCCUCGAUCCCCAACGCCCCCCGAUCCUAUCGCCGCCGCUGCCUACCACGCCUCCUACCGGCGUGCCAGCACCAACGCCUCCUUCCCGGCGCACCGUCGUCCCCGCCUCCUCCCGGCACGAGGCCGCCUCCAGACUCCUCCUGGGACGCCGUCGCCCCCGCCUUCCUCCUGGCGCGCCGCCGCCCCUGUCUUCUUCAACUGCCACCAUGGACCACCACCUCUGCCCCGAUCCACCUUGGUAGUGGAUCCUGAGCGCCGUCGCUGACCAUGGAUCCUGGGCGCCGCCGCCUGUCUUUGGAUCCCGCCCGCCGCCGCCGGGGUCCCCGACUGAAGACGACCAAGCCAUGGAUCCUGGGUGCCAUCGCGGGCCGUGGAUCCCGGGGCGGCACCGCCUAGCUCUGAUCCCGCCGGCCGCCACCGAGGUUCCCGACUGAAGAUGCCCUAUGCCGCGGCACUCAGGCCAUUCGCCACCGCCACCUCUUGCAGUUCACCGCCACCAUCCAGCGCGCCCCCGGUCGCCCCCAGGACGCCAGGAACCACCUGACUCCCCUGGUUCGCCUACAUCGUGGGAUCACUUCGCGUCGGUUCGCGAGGCCACAACCCCUGCCCUCCAAUUUCAUCACUUUUUUGUGUUUGUCCUCUGAAAAAAUUGGCCAUCGUUGCAGGCUAGCUUCACCAGAUUAUUCAGUUCAGCUCUAAACAAAUGAGCAUUAUACUUUGUUGUCCAGUUUUGGGAAGGUUGAAAUUGUUCCAGAAGGUGAAAAAUAUGUCCAAGUAUAUCAGCAGCUUUGGGAAGGUAGAAAUUGUUCCAGAAGGUGAAAAAUAUGUCCAAGUAUAUUUUCUAGAACACCGACACUCUCUGGACAUCAUUGGUAUAUGCUACAAUUAUCCCUCGAGAUUGAUGUUAUCAACCACUAUCAAAUAUUCCCUGGACAUCAUUGGUACUACUAAUCUCCACAUAUAUGCACAACUAAGUGCAAUCAGUCUGUUCUGAACACCUGCAGCAGGCAUGGCCUCAUGCUACAGUUCAACUUUCAAUUACCUGUUACAGAGAGCCUGACAGGACUUCCUCCGCCGACAGACACUGCACGCCAUGAGAAAGUUCAGGGAAUAUUUGAUAGUGGAAGCUACACUGUCACUGUGCACCACAGCUGAUAAAGUUUCUCCAAUAAUGCUGCACCUUUUAUUUCCUCAUCAUCUGCCUUUCUCCCAAGCUUUUAGUAUUUCUUUUGCAUGCCAGAAUGGCUGGAGCGCAAAGUGAAGCCUGAAGCCAACCUGUGUUGUGAGCAUCAGUAGCUAGUCACGUGCUGCGCUGGGCCAACAAAACAGCUUGCAGUUUUGUUCAUUUCAAGGCGGUUAGGUGGGGUGGGAAUCCUAUUUAUUCAGAUGCGCUUGUACCAACACUAAUUAUUUUGAUUGACGUGAUAGUACUAAUCUACUGACAUGGUCCGGGAAAGGCCACUACAGUGACUAAAUUUAACCAGGGAUUCGCACUUUUGUGGCGCUGCAGAGAUCACAUCGUUUUUUCUAUGUUCAUCGUCAGAGUGCGAAUGGGAACUCCCACAUGUAAAGUUAGUACACAAGCACCGUGUAGUGUUAAAAACGCUUUUACAUUACAAGACGGAGGGAGGGAGUAAGAAAGUUGCUUAGAAGAGAUGCUUAAAAGAAUAAAUCAUUGGUAUAUUUUCUAGAACACCGACACUCUCUGGACAUCAUUGUUAUAUGCAUGCCGAUGUUAUCAAUCAACUUUAACAUAUAUGCUACAACUAUCCCUCGAGAUGGAACUGUUGUAGUAGACUUGUAUCCAUGCUGGAUGUAGAAAACAAAUGUUCAUGUUAAUGAAUAUUGAUAAAAGUUGGGAAGAGGUUCUCUCCUUUUGUUUUUUUCUAGAAUUGUUGUUUUAGAGAGUGUUGUUUCAGAGAGUGUUCACUUUUAAAAGAAAGCAUUUUCCAUGUUUCCAAAAGAAAUUAGAAGUUCAAAUUUCACAAACAUAGAGGUUCAAUGUUUAUUACAGAACCAAGAAUG